Molecule: ribosomal RNA, 440 nt
Filed under: Thaumatomonas coloniensis
Lineage: Eukaryota; Cercozoa; Imbricatea; Thaumatomonadida; Thaumatomastigidae
Description: eukaryotic LSU rRNA
Rfam family: Eukaryotic large subunit ribosomal RNA
Source: RNAcentral
UUGGGGGGCACUAUCGACCGAACGUUCGCUUGCGAAAGUUUUGAGUAAGAGCACAUCUGUUGGGACCCGAAAGAUGGUGAUCUAUGCCAGAACAGGGUGAAGGCAGGGGAAACUCUGCUGGAAGCUCGUAGCGAUACUGACGUGCAAAUCGUUCGUCUGAUUUUGGUAUAGGGGCGAAAGACUAAUCGAACCAUCUAGUAGCUGGUUCCCACCGAAGUUUCCCCCAGGAUAGCUGGAACUAUAUCGGUCUUAUCAGGUAAAGCUAAUGAUUAGAGGUCUUCGGAAUGAAACAUUCUGACCCUAUUCUCAAACUUUAAAUAGGUAAGAAACCCUAAGUCACUUAAUUGGACUUGGGUCUCGGACGAGAGUUCUUAGUGGGCCAUUUUUGGUAAGCAGAACUGGCGAUGCGGGAUGAACCGGACGUUGACUUAAGGUGCCAA